CAGUAGCCGCGGGAAUACAGAGGGUGCGAGCGUUAAUCGGAUUUACUGGGCGUAAAGCGUGCGUAGGCGGCUUUUUAAGUCGGAUGUGAAAUCCCUGAGCUUAACUUAGGAAUUGCAUUCGAUACUGGGAAGCUAUAGUAUGGGAGAGGAUGGUAGAAUUCCAGGUGUAGCGGUGAAAUGCGUAGAGAUCUGGAGGAAUACCGAUGGCGAAGGCAGCCAUCUGGCCUAAUACUGACGCUGAGGUACGAAAGCAUGGGGAGCAAACAGGAUUAGAUACCCGCGUAGUCCCUGUCUCUUAUAC
RNAcentral lists this ribosomal RNA (301 nucleotides) under uncultured bacterium. RNAcentral's name for it is "partial 16S ribosomal RNA". It matches the Rfam family "Bacterial small subunit ribosomal RNA", at positions 509 to 807 of the family's 1533-position model. The record is from RNAcentral.